AACGAACGUUAGCGGCGCGCCUAACACAUGCAAGUCGUGCGAGAAAGGGCUUCGGCCCCAGUAAAGCGGCGCACGGGUGAGUAACACGUAGGUAAUCUGCCCUCUGGUGGUGGAUAACCUUCCGAAAGGAAGGCUAAUACAGCAUAAGACCACGGUUUCGCAAGAGACUGGGUAAAAGCGGGCCUCUUCAUGAAAGCUCGCUCCAGGGGAUGAGCCUGUGGCCCAUCAGCUAGUUGGUAGGGUAAUGGCCUACCAAGGCGAAGACGGGUAGCUGGUCUGAGAGGAUGAUCAGCCACACUGGAACUGAGACACGGUCCAGACUCCUACGGGAGGCAGCAGUGGGGAAGUCUUGCGCAAUGGGCGAAAGCCUGACGCAGCGACGCCGCGUGAGUGAUGAAGGCCU
This 403-nucleotide ribosomal RNA is filed under the name uncultured bacterium. RNAcentral describes it as "bacterial SSU rRNA". It matches the Rfam family "Bacterial small subunit ribosomal RNA", at positions 29 to 417 of the family's 1533-position model. The record is from RNAcentral.